UGAGGAAGGAAGCCUGGUGUUGGGAG
RNAcentral lists this non-coding RNA (26 nucleotides) under Mus musculus (house mouse). Lineage: Eukaryota; Metazoa; Chordata; Mammalia; Rodentia; Muridae. The record is from RNAcentral.